UCAGAUUCUUAAUUUCCUUCACCAAAACGGUGCAUCCCCCGCGGUCUGCAUCUUCAACCUAAGAACAAUUAGAAGAGAACCAUUUCCUUCCAAAAGAGAAAAUCAGACUCGGACCUUUGCAAAAACCAGAGCAAACAGCGCAACCCCAGCUCCCUUUCUUCUGUUUGCUUCAUCAUUUUCUCAAAACACACACAGAGAAACACCCAAUUCUCAUAUCUGACUCCCUACAUUUCCUUACUUCUCUGAUAAACACCCAAACACACUAGGAAAUCAAAAUUGGAAGAAAAAUCCGAAAAAAUCGUUUCAAACAAAAAUCAAAAUGAAGCUGGAAUUUGGGCAUCAAUUUUCCUAAAUACUGCUGUUGUUGUUGUGUCAUUCUUUUGCUUUCAUCUCCUUGCAACUUCAGAGAUUUAUUCUUUUUGGUGGCUAAAUCAGUGCUUAUUUCUAAAGAAGUAGUGUGCAAGGAAUUUGUACUGAUACUAGAAGUCAGUAGAUGUUUCAAGAACAGUACAAGUUUGUGUUAAUUCUUCUUUGUCCCCAGCACUUGCUGACCAAGAACGGACAGUCCUGAUGCCUAUGAUUGUAUUAAUUUGAUUACUAACAGCUUGAAUGAUUGUAAGUAACGAAGUGAUUAUUGUGAAAAUAUUGUUUAGUAAAAGUGUCUUCAUUUGUGAUUGAUCCAACAAAAAAAACAAAUAUCUAGGAUAUUAAAAGAAUUGUUUGUGGGGUUCAUAAAAAUAUAUUAUAAUUAAUGUU
Long non-coding RNA from Nicotiana tabacum (common tobacco), 756 nucleotides. RefSeq lists it as uncharacterized. Lineage: Eukaryota; Viridiplantae; Streptophyta; Magnoliopsida; Solanales; Solanaceae. The record is from RefSeq and is a predicted model, not a curated record.